Molecule: long non-coding RNA, 877 nt
Organism: Meriones unguiculatus (Mongolian gerbil)
Lineage: Eukaryota; Metazoa; Chordata; Mammalia; Rodentia; Muridae
Exons: 2
Source: RefSeq, a predicted model, not a curated record
UUCUUCGUUUGAACCUCGGCGGCGGGCCAAUUGUACGCCGCCUUCUAGCCUCAACCCCGCCCCUCCGGCGCCGCCUCCCUAACGGCUGUUUGUUUUUGCACACGGCACGUGGAGGCGGGGCCUCCAGCCCCAACUUUGACGCGCUCUCCGCCUCUCAUUGUUGGCGGAGUUCUGACGAGCGGAGGAACGGACCAAUGAGAGAGGAGGAAAGCCAAUGAAAACAUUGUCGGCACCGCAGGCGGAGGAUGGGAACAGCGGCAGGUUUCAGUGGGUGAGUUCAUGGACAACAUGGUGGAGAGCAUGGCAUCAAGCAAGCAUGGCAUUGAAGGAGGAGCUGAGAGCUUACAGCUGAACCAGAAGCAGGAGGCAGAGAGCAGACUGGGCCUGGCUUUUGAGACCUCCAAGUCCACCUUCAGAAAACCUCCUCUGAAGCCACACCUCAUUGUCCUUCCCAAACAGUCCACCAACUGGGAAGCAAACAUUCAAAUACAUGAGUAUAGGGGCCUUUCUCACUCAGACCAUCACAUUCCACUCCCUGCUCCCCAAAGGCUUGGAGCCACAUCAUGAUGCAAAAUGGUUUGUUUUUUGAGACAGUGUUUCUCUGUGUAGCCUUGGCUGUGCUGGACUGGUUUGUAGACCAGGCUUGCCUGGAACUCACAGUGAUCCGCCUGUCACUGCCUUCCUGAGUGAUGGGAUUAAAAGCAUCCACCACCACACCCAGCUUGCAAAAUGUGUUUAAUCCAACUUCAAAGAUUCCUAUAAUUUUCUUACAGUCUCAACAUAGUUUUAAAGCUCAAAGUCUCUUCUGAGACUCAAGGUAAUCUCUUGACUGUAAAGCCCUGUAAAAUUAAAAUCAAAACAAAGUACAUAUUUGUAA